AAGCCUGAUCCAGCCAUGCCGCGUGAGUGAUGAAGGCCUCAGGGUUGUAAAGCUCUUUCAGUAGGGAAGAUAAUGACGGUACCUACAGAAGAAGCCCCGGCUAACUUCGUGCCAGCAGCCGCGGUAAUCGAAGGGGGCUAGCGUUGUUCGGAUUUACUGGGCGUAAAGCGCACGUAGGCGGUUUGUUAAGGUCAGAGGUGAAAUCCCGGAGCUCAACUCCGGAACUGCCUUUGAUACUGGCAAGCUAGAGUCCGGAAGAGGUAAGUGGAACUCCUAGUGUAGAGGUGGAAUUCGUAGAUAUUGGAAGAACACCAGUGGCGAAGGCGGCUUACUGGUCCGGAACUGACGCUGAGGUGCGAAAGCGUGGGGAGCGAACAGGAUUAGAUACCCUGGUAGUCCACGCCGUAAACUAUGAGAGCUAGCCGUUGGAAGGUUACCUUUCAGUGGCGCAGCUAACGCAUUAAGCUCUCCGCCUGGGGAGUACGGUCGCAAGAUUA
This 497-nucleotide ribosomal RNA is filed under the name uncultured Pseudomonadota bacterium. Its description in RNAcentral is "bacterial SSU rRNA". It matches the Rfam family "Bacterial small subunit ribosomal RNA", at positions 379 to 896 of the family's 1533-position model. The record is from RNAcentral. Lineage: Bacteria; Pseudomonadati; Pseudomonadota.